This 3477-nucleotide long non-coding RNA is filed under the name Sus scrofa (pig). Its description in RNAcentral is "lncRNA (ENSSSCG00000045314.1)". Lineage: Eukaryota; Metazoa; Chordata; Mammalia; Artiodactyla; Suidae. The record is from RNAcentral.
CUACAGCUCCAAUUAGACCUGGAGCCUGGGAACCUCCCUAUAGUCUACUUCCACAUUCCUUCAGGCUUUGGCCUAAGUAAUCUUCCAGAUUUACUACCAAGGUGCCUCUCAGCUGGAGGCUGUUAUCAGCUCCUAGAUGCCGCCCACAGUUCCUUGGCACAUGGCCCCCUGUAUAGAUCCUCUCUCUCAACAUGGCAGCUUAUUUCCUCAAAACUAGUAAGGGGCUUUAUGACCUCCCUUUCAAGUCUUCCACCUAAUAAAGUCAGGCCCACCUAGCAUAGUCUCUCUUUUGAAUAACUCCAAAUCCACUAAUUCAGAAAUUUUAAACCUGCAAAAUUUCUUCUCCUUCGUUAUAUAAUAUAGCUGAAUGAAUGGAGUUAUAUUCCAUCAGCUUUGCCAUGUUCUAUUGGUUAGAAGCAAGUCUUAGAAUCUGUCCAAUUCAAGGGUAGGGAAUUACACAAAAGUGCGGACAAUAGGGGUCUGGAAAUCAUUGAAGAGCGGGGGGUUACCUUGAGGUCUGUCCGCCAUACCUUUCCCAAUUCCUAUUUUUUACAAAUUCAGUUUGAAUGUAUUCAGUUGAAACUUGAAUUGAAUAAACUUAAACAAAAAGUGUGUGUACUAUUCCAUGAAAUCAAAGGAAGCGUUGAGAAAAGCUUAUUGGGAGAGGGUUGCUGCUAUAACAUGGAAAUCUAGAAAUCAGUUGUCUUCAGAGACCACUUCUUGACUUUUUUCCCCUUGUCAGAUAACCUCGCUUGGAUUGGUUGCCCUCCCUCAGGAAGAAUCAUAUGUGGUUGAGAUAAUGGGUCUUCUCAUCAGCCUAGAUUAGAUCAAGCAUCCCCUUUAUAUGAAUCAACUCUGGUUAUGUACAGCAUUUUAAGAACUUUUUAAUUCCUGGGGAAAUGAGAGGGGUAAUUUCUAAAAAAAAUUAUUAACUCCAAACAAUAUAAUGUAUAUAUUAGAGCAUCUCUAAACAGUGUUUAUUUUUAUUUUUUUUAAAUUUUUUUCCUCCCAGAAUAAUCACAGGAUUUGUUUACUUGCAGUAGUGCGAUCUUGCACUGGAACUUAUCUGCCAGUACUUUUAUAUCUAUCCCAUAUACUCCAGACCAAAAACUUCUGAGUAGUGUAUGUUCCAUUCAUUGCUAUAAUUUCGGGAUCUAGCUGGCCUGGUUUAUGAUAGUCAUUCAGCAGAUGAAUGUUUAACAAAGUACUGCCUUACUGAAAAAUUAAAUUUAAUGUAGUCCACUAAAAAUUCAGCAACUUAAAAAAACUCCAGCGUUGCCAUAGGGGUGGAUGUUUUAAAUUGUCUUAUUUUAAAAUAGAAAUUAAAGUUGGUAAUUCUUUUAUUUAGUGAAAAGAAUGAUGAAGGAUGAUUUUUUUUUUUUUAAAGAGCAAGGAAGAGAAUCAUAAAAUCACCUCAGAAAAUAAAUUAGAACAGAAGUGGAUGAGCAUUAGGGUCAUGUUUUCAGGGCCUGUUGAGUACUUCAUAUUCUUUAUUGACACCCUCCCAAGUUUUCUUCCCUGAUCUUCCUUUUCCAUGUUUUAUUUUUUCUAUCUGUAUCUAUCUCAUUACCUAUCUUUAUCAAGAAAAAUGGACCUCAUUGAUGAAAGUUAUUUCCUACUUUAGGAUUUCAAGUUAAAAAAAAACUUUUUCAUAGAUUAUAGAUAAACCGUGACACUGAAUAAAUACGUCUCCCUUCAAUACCUUUUUGAGUAGUUUAGAAAUUUGAUUGAUACAUCCAGAAAUGAGCAGAAGCAACAUUUCAUCCAAUAGCUUAUAUAUUCUUGCCCUUAGUUAAAGUGUACCUGCUUACUUGGAUGGUAGCCAUCCAGUUUUCUGCUUCCUCUACUCCUAAGGAUAAGCAGCAGAGCUCAUGGAUGAUUGUGGAUUUUCUAGUCAUUCAAUUAGUAACUAUUUACUUAAUGACAAUUAGAUUCCAGUUACUAAGCUCAGUAUUAUUAAUACGGCAAUAAACAAGACUGAAGAAAUUUUGAGUAUAUGAAAUUUGUGUUCCAGGAGAAGGAAUUAGAAAAUAUGUAACAGAUAAAGUAAUGAUAAAAGGAAAUAAAUAAAAUAGGGUGAUUUUGACAAAAUAUAACAAUCUAUACUUUAUAAAGACGGUCAGAGAAGACCUCUUUGAGAAGAUGAUUUUGAAACCCAGUCUUGAGAAAUGAAAAUAAUAGGGGCUGUGGGGAGAUACCUGAAAGAAGUAUAUGUGAAGACCUAGAGUUAAAAAAGGAUUUUAGGUAUUAAAAAAAUCAAAAAGCUGUCCACAUAAAUAUAGCACAGUGAAAGAGAAGAGUGUUUGUGAUGAAGGCAGGUGCUAGAGCAUGCAGAAUUAAAGCCUUAAUUAAAGAAUUUGGGUUUUUAAGAGGAAUGGAAAAAUUACAUUUGGCAGAAAAGUAAUUCAAUUGAUUUAUAUUUGUAACUAUUUUGCAAGAGAAUUGCUUAUUGUAGGAAAAGAUUAAAAGCAGGGAGACUGUAAGAAAAGAUUAAAAGCAGGGAGACAGGUUAGAAUGUGAUAGUUACAGACAGAUAUCAUGGCAUUGAUAUCUAUGGAAAGAUGCGAAAAAUGGAAAGAAGUACAUAUGAGAUGUAUUUGGGAGGUAAAACUGAGUAGACUUCCUGGUUAAUCAGAUAUGCUUAGUGAAACAGAAGAUUCCUAGGUAGAUCUUUGAGGUUCUAAUUUGAGCAGCUAAGAAGAUGGUAGUAGUAUUUACUAAUAAAAGUAGAAAUAGGGGUCAGAGAGAGAGUGUGGUAUUAAAAGCCUCAUGUUUGAAAAUGUAUUAAUUUUGAGAUUCCCACCAGAUAUCCAAACAAAGAUGCCAUGUAAACAGUGAACACAUGAGUUUGGAAAUCAAGGCAGAGACUAGUUGGAGAAACUCAGUGAGAAAGGCAUCCAUGUGGAGAAUCUGUUAGUCAAACUUGGUUUCAGAUUCCAGUGAAUACACUUAUCAGUGAUGUAACUUGAGACAAGAAUCUCAAUACUGCUCUGAGUUCAUUCCAUCUUCUAGAAAGUGGGAGUAGUAGUUGAUAUUAAUAAUUAAAUGUCUGGGGAUUUCCCAUUGUGGCUCAGCAGAAACGAACCCAACUAGUAUCCAUGAGGAUGUGCAAUCUUGCUAUUUUAUAGACAAUAAGCAAAAUAAUGCAGAAUGCUUAAUUAUACUCUUCUUUUGAAAGUGGAAAAUCAGUUCUAUAAAACUUGAAGGAUUAUUCGAGUUAUGUCUCCUGUAUUUUAUAUGGAACGAACUGUCAGUGGUGUAAUGCUAAGAAUAGUUUGGAGUUCCCAUUGUGGCCCAGUGGUUUAUUAACCCAACUAGUAUCCAUGAGGAUGUGGGUUCAAACCCUGGCCUCACUCAGUAGAUUAAGGAUCCAGCAUAGCCAUGAACUGUGGUAUAGGUCACAAACACAACUGGGAUCCCACGGUCCUAUGGCUGUGUCAUAGGCCGGCAGCUUCAGCUCUGAUUCAACCCCUAGCC